UUUCCGUUGGUGGAACCAGCGGAGGGGAUCAUUACAGAGUUGCAAAACUCCCACCCUUGUGAACUAUCCCUACUGUUGCUUCGGUAGACGCUACGCUGCGGCUAGGCGGCUACCGACAGCCUACUUAACACUGCAAUCAACGUAUCUCUGAGUUUAUCUUAAUAAGUUAAAACUUUCAACAACGGAUCUCUUGGUUCUGGCAUCGAUGAAGAACGCAGCGAAAUGCGAUAAGUAAUGUGAAUUGCAGAAUUCAGUGAAUCAUCGAAUCUUUGAACGCACAUUGCGCCCGCUAGUAUUCUGGCGGGCAUGCCUGUUCGAGCGUCAUUUCAACCAUCAAGCUCUCAGCUUGUGUUGGGGGUCCUGCAGUAUCCGCAGCCCCUUAAAAGCAGUGGCGGCUUGUUGUCAUACCGAGCGCAGAAGCAUUAUCUCCGCUUUGGUCGUGGUUAGCAGUCCCAGCCGUUAAAGCACAUACAAAAGGUUGACCUCGGAUCAGGUAGGAAUACCCGCUGAACUUUAA
RNAcentral lists this ribosomal RNA (517 nucleotides) under Ascomycota sp. Its description in RNAcentral is "eukaryotic LSU rRNA". The stretch from base 171 to 324 matches the Rfam family "5.8S ribosomal RNA". The record is from RNAcentral. Lineage: Eukaryota; Fungi; Ascomycota.